Non-coding RNA from Armillaria fumosa, 93 nucleotides. The record is from the annotation of a GenBank genome assembly. NCBI's taxonomy places the organism in Eukaryota, Fungi, Basidiomycota, Agaricomycetes, Agaricales, Physalacriaceae.
UCUCUGGUAGUAUGUCGGUUAGUACACGCGCCUGUUAUUUGGAGAUUAUAUUCAUGAACGCGCGAAAGCUGGGUUCGACUCCCAGCCAGAGAG